Molecule: long non-coding RNA, 382 nt
Filed under: Amborella trichopoda
Lineage: Eukaryota; Viridiplantae; Streptophyta; Magnoliopsida; Amborellales; Amborellaceae
Description: long non-coding RNA (ATRI_LNC002425)
Source: RNAcentral
UUUUUUACAUUACUGGGGACACUAGUGCAUGCAGAAACUUCUCCCUUAACCCCUACCAAGUGUUGCUUGAACCUAUGUACCCCACUACUUAUCACUCUUUGACAGUAAUUACAAAUAAUUUUGAACCUAUGUACCCCACUACUUAUCACUCUUUGACAGUAAUUACAAAUAAUUUUGUCUUUCUUGUUGAGAUCAAGUCUGACCCCAUGUUGCCAUGCAGGGUCUUCUGCAGAUCCUGACAUGAUUCAACUGUUUUAAGAUGUAAGAAGUAUAAAAUUAACCUGAUAGUUCAAAAAGAAAAAUAAUCACUAUGUGUAGUGAUAAUAUGUUGCGGUAGUUCAUGUAGUCAUAUUUGUUGUUAUUUGUUAUUGCAAAAUACAUU